Long non-coding RNA from Cyprinus carpio carpio, 957 nucleotides. NCBI's taxonomy places the organism in Eukaryota, Metazoa, Chordata, Actinopteri, Cypriniformes, Cyprinidae. The record is from Ensembl.
CCGAGGCGGUGUCCGAGGCGGUGCCCGAGAUGGGUCUGGAGGCCGAGGCGGUGCCCGAUGCGCAGGCCGAGGCGAUGCCCGUGUCCAGGGCCGUUCCCGAGGCGGUGUCCUUGUCCCAUGCCGUUCCCGAGGCGGUGCCCUUGUCCAAGGCCGUUCCCGAGGCGGUGUCCAAUGCCGUGACCUGGCCAUCGCCACAGUCUGCUCCUCACUGGCUCCCCGAAUGGCAGGUUCCGUUCGGGCCACUCAAAUGGUGAAUUCCUCCCUGGCCGUCUGCACAACGAGAAUGGACUGAUCCACCGUGGCCACCUGAACUGCCUGGCCCCUCGUGGUCCCCUGAACUUUCGGGUCCACCGUGGCCACCUGAACUGCCUGGUCCCUCGUGGUCCCCUGAACUUUCGGGUCCACCAUGGCCCCCUGAUCUGACCGAGCCACCUGGGCUGCCAGGGGAGCCAUCGCUGCCGGUCCCAGUUCCCCUACACGGGCCUGGCCCGCCAUCCCUCCCCCUGUUCUGCCUCCACCAGUCCACCUCCCUCCUGGUCUCUUUGUUUUGUGUUUGUUUUGUUCUGAGGAGCAUCUGGAAGCUGCUCCUUAGAGGGGGGGUAGUGUCACGGUGUCUGGUUUGUGUAUCCCUGGGUGUCCACUAGAGGUCUCACUUCCCCUUAGCGUCACCCCACCUCAGAACUACAUUUCCCUUAGUCUUGUUUGUUUCAUCACUGCUCAUUGCACUCAGCUGUCCCUGGUCAUUAAUCAUUGCACUCAGCCAAUUCCCCGUUAGUAUUGUAAUCACCUGUCUAUAAAUACCUGGUUUGUUUCUGUCUUUGUUACGGAGUCCUUGUUUAAAGUCACCCUGCUGUUUCGUGUUUCCUUGCUUUGUUUGUGUUUCUUGUUUUGGACUGAUUACCUGGAUUUUGACCGUUGCCUGGCUAGAGUUAUGAUUUCUGGAUUACCCAUUAAACA